CUACGGGAUGCUGCAGUGGGGAAUCUUAGACAAUGGGGGAAACCCUGAUCUAGCCAUGCCGCGUGAGCGACGACGGCCCUAGGGUUGUAAAGCUCUUUCAGCAGGGAAGAUAAUGACGGUACCUGCAGAAGAAGUCCAGGCUAACUCCGUGCCAGCAGCCGCGGUAAUACGGAGGGGACUAGCGUUGUUCGGAAUUACUGGGCGUAAAGCGCGCGUAGGCGGAUUGUUAAGUCGGGGGUGAAAUCCCGGGGCUCAACCCCGGAACUGCCCUCGAUACUGGCAGUCUUGAGUUCGAGAGAGGUGAGUGGAAUUCCGAGUGUAGAGGUGAAAUUCGUAGAUAUUCGGAGGAACACCAGUGGCGAAGGCGGCUCACUGGCUCGAUACUGACGCUGAGGUGCGAAAGCGUGGGGAGCAAACAGGAUUAGAUACCCCUGUAGUC
RNAcentral lists this ribosomal RNA (439 nucleotides) under uncultured bacterium. Its description in RNAcentral is "partial 16S ribosomal RNA". It matches the Rfam family "Bacterial small subunit ribosomal RNA", at positions 339 to 795 of the family's 1533-position model. The record is from RNAcentral.